Molecule: ribosomal RNA, 264 nt
Filed under: uncultured archaeon
Lineage: Archaea
Description: partial 16S ribosomal RNA
Rfam family: Archaeal small subunit ribosomal RNA
Source: RNAcentral
AGACGUCUACAUUAGAUACCCGCGUAGUCCCAGCCGUAAACUAUGCGCGUUAGGUGUAUCGGUGACCACGAGUUACCGAGGUGCCGAAGGGAAACCGUGAAACGUGCCGCCUGGGAAGUACGGUCGCAAGGCUGAAACUUAAAGGAAUUGGCGGGGAGCACCACAACAGGUGGAGCCUGCGGUUUAAUUGGACUCAACGCCGGGAAGCUCACUGGAUAGGACAGCAGAAUGAUUGCCGGGCUGAAGACCCUGCAUGACUAGCUG